Molecule: ribosomal RNA, 555 nt
Filed under: uncultured Anaerovorax sp.
Lineage: Bacteria; Bacillati; Bacillota; Clostridia; Peptostreptococcales; Anaerovoracaceae
Description: bacterial SSU rRNA
Rfam family: Bacterial small subunit ribosomal RNA
Source: RNAcentral
AAACUCAAAUGAAUUGACGGGGACCCGCACAAGCAGCGGAGCAUGUGGUUUAAUUCGAAGCAACGCGAAGAACCUUACCAGGACUUGACAUCCCUCUGACAGUCCCUUAACCGGGAUUUCCUUCGGGCAGAGGUGACAGGUGGUGCAUGGUUGUCGUCAGCUCGUGUCGUGAGAUGUUGGGUUAAGUCCCGCAACGAGCGCAACCCUUGUCUUUAGUUGCCAUCAUUUAGUUGGGCACUCUAGAGAGACUGCCGAGGAUAACUCGGAGGAAGGUGGGGAUGACGUCAAAUCAUCAUGCCCCUUAUGUUCUGGGCUACACACGUGCUACAAUGGCUGGUACAAAGAGACGCAAGACGGUGACGUGGAGCAAAUCUCAAAACCAGUCCCAGUUCGGAUUGUAGGCUGAAACUCGCCUACAUGAAGUUGGAGUUGCUAGUAAUCGCAGAUCAGAAUGCUGCGGUGAAUGCGUUCCCGGGUCUUGUACACACCGCCCGUCACACCAUGGAAGUUGGGGGCGCCCAAAGUUGGCCAAUUAAUAGGUUACCUAAGGCGAAA